AUGUUACAGGUCACUAGUGUCAGCAUGGAAGGUGUUUUAGUAGAAGAAGAUCUAAAUGGGCGUGCUUCUACGUGUGGCUCAUUAAGUUUCUUGGGAAUACCUGCUCCAGCUGCUGCAGGUUCUGUGCUUCAGUGCGCGCUGGAGGGAUUGGAUCGCCUGGCUACUGUCAACCUCUUCUUCCUCGUUCCUGCUCAAUGGAUGGCUAGGACAGGCUGUGCUUCAUCGCCAUGGUUUAACGCAGGCCUGUACGGGGAUGAUGCAGUUCUUUUUGGAAGCCCAAGGAAGGAAGAAGUGGACAUGCUCAUGCAGAUUCUGAAUGACUUCGGAAACGCGUCUGGACUGAAGAUAAACCCUCAAAAAUCAACUGUCACACCCAUCAGAUGCAAGGACAUCAACCUCUGA
This 402-nucleotide ribosomal RNA is filed under the name Triticum aestivum (bread wheat). Its description in RNAcentral is "partial small subunit ribosomal RNA". The record is from RNAcentral. Lineage: Eukaryota; Viridiplantae; Streptophyta; Magnoliopsida; Poales; Poaceae.